Molecule: ribosomal RNA, 447 nt
Filed under: uncultured bacterium
Lineage: Bacteria
Description: bacterial SSU rRNA
Rfam family: Bacterial small subunit ribosomal RNA
Source: RNAcentral
UGCCAGACUCCUACGGGAGGCAGCAGUGGGGGAUAUUGCACAAUGGGGGGAACCCUGAUGCAGCGACGCCGCGUGGGUGAAGAAGCGCCUCGGCGCGUAAAGCCCUGUCAGCAGGGAAGAAAAUGACGGUACCUGAAGAAGAAGCCCCGGCUAACUACGUGCCAGCAGCCGCGGUAAUACGUAGGUGGCAAGCGUUGUCCGGAUUUACUGGGUGUAAAGGGCGUGCAGCCGGAGAGACAAGUCAGAUGUGAAAUCCACGGGCUCAACCCGUGAACUGCAUUUGAAACUGUUUCCCUUGAGUGUCGGAGAGGUAAUCGGAAUUCCUUGUGUAGCGGUGAAAUGCGUAGAUAUAAGGAAGAACACCAGUGGCGAAGGCGGAUUACUGGACGAUAACUGACGGUGAGGCGCGAAAGCGUGGGGAGCAAACAGGAUUAGAUACCCUUGUAC